Molecule: ribosomal RNA, 425 nt
Filed under: uncultured bacterium
Lineage: Bacteria
Description: partial 16S ribosomal RNA
Rfam family: Bacterial small subunit ribosomal RNA
Source: RNAcentral
GUGGGGAAUCUUAGACAAUGGGCGCAAGCCUGAUCUAGCCAUGCCGCGUGAGUGAUGAAGGCCCUAGGGUUGUAAAGCUCUUUCAGCUGGGAAGAUAAUGACGGUACCAGCAGAAGAAGCCCCGGCUAACUCCGUGCCAGCAGCCGCGGUAAUACGGAGGGGGCUAGCGUUGUUCGGAAUUACUGGGCGUAAAGCGCGCGUAGGCGGACUGAAAAGUUGGGGGUGAAAUCCCGGGGCUCAACCUCGGAACUGCCUUCAAAACUAUCAGUCUGGAGUUCGAGAGAGGUGAGGGGAAUUCCGAGUGUAGAGGUGAAAUUCGUAGAUAUUCGGAGGAACACCAGUGGCGAAGGCGGCUCACUGGCUCGAUACUGACGCUGAGGUGCGAAAGCGUGGGGAGCAAACAGGAUUAGAAACCCCAGUAGUCC